RNAcentral lists this ribosomal RNA (468 nucleotides) under uncultured bacterium. RNAcentral describes it as "partial 16S ribosomal RNA". It matches the Rfam family "Bacterial small subunit ribosomal RNA", at positions 28 to 507 of the family's 1533-position model. The record is from RNAcentral.
GACGAACGCUGGCGGCGUGCCUAACACAUGCAAGUCGAACGGAAAGGCCCUGCUUUUGUGGUGUUCUGGAGUGUCGAACGGGGGAGUAACACGUGAGUAUCCUGCCCUUGACUUUGGGGUAACAUCAGGAAACUGGGGCUAAUAUCGGACAGGACAUCCUGUUGCAUGGUGGGUGUUGGAAAGUUGCGGCGGUUGGGGAUGAACGCGCGGCUUAUCAGCUUGUUGGUGGGGUGGUGGCUUACCAAGGCGCUGACGGGUAGCCGGCCUGCGAGGGUGACCGGGCACAUUGGGACUGAGAGACGGCCCAGACGGCAACGGGGGGCAGCAGGGGGAAAUAUAGCACACUGGGCCGAGGGAGUAUGGAGCGACUUCGCGUGCGGGAUGACUGUCUUCAGGUAGUAACCAGCUUUCGCCUGUGAAGAAGCGUGAGUGACGGUAAUGUAUAAAGAAGCACCGGCUAACUACGUG